CAGUAGCCGCGGGAAUACGAAGGGGGCUAGCGUUGUUCGGAUUUACUGGGCGUAAAGGGCGCGUAGGCGGGCUGAUAAGUCGGGGGUGAAAUCCCAAGGCUCAACCUUGGAACUGCCUUUGAUACUGUUGGUCUUGAGUCCGGGAGAGGUGAGUGGAACUGCGAGUGUAGAGGUGAAAUUCGUAGAUAUUCGCAAGAACACCAGUGGCGAAGGCGGCUCACUGGCCCGGAACUGACGCUGAGGCGCGAAAGCGUGGGGAGCAAACCGGAUUAGAUACCCGGGUAGUCCCUGUCUCUUAUAC
This 301-nucleotide ribosomal RNA is filed under the name uncultured bacterium. RNAcentral describes it as "partial 16S ribosomal RNA". It matches the Rfam family "Bacterial small subunit ribosomal RNA", at positions 509 to 807 of the family's 1533-position model. The record is from RNAcentral.